GUGCUCACUUUGGCAGCACAUAUACUAAAAUUGGAACAAUUCAGAGAAGAUUAGCAUGGCACCUGCACAAGGAUGACAUGCAAAUUCGUGAAGCUUUCCUAUUUUUG
Small nuclear RNA from Cricetulus griseus (Chinese hamster), 107 nucleotides. NCBI's taxonomy places the organism in Eukaryota, Metazoa, Chordata, Mammalia, Rodentia, Cricetidae. The record is from Ensembl.